AGCUCCAAUAGCGUAUAUUAAAGUUGUUGCGGUUAAAAAGCUCGUAGUUGGAUUUCUGUUGAGGGCAGCGCGUCUACCUUUUGGGUAAGUAUGUUGCUUGACCUCGGCAUCUUCGUGAAAAACAUUUCUGCGCUUGAUUGCGUGGGGUGGGGUUCACGACUUUUACUUUGAGGAAAUUAGAGUGUUCACGGCAAGCAUACGCUUUGAAUAUAUUAGCAUGGGAUAAUGAUAUAGGAUUUUGGUUCUAUUUUGUUGGUUUCUAGGGCUAAAAUAAUGAUUAAUAGGGACAAUUGGGGGCAUUCGUAUUAUGUGGUCAGAGGUGAAAUUCUUGGAUUCACAUACGACGAACUACUGCGAAAGCAUUUGCCAAGGAUGUUUUCAUUGAUCAAGAACGAAAGUA
Molecule: ribosomal RNA, 400 nt
Filed under: phytoplankton environmental sample
Lineage: Eukaryota
Description: partial small subunit ribosomal RNA
Rfam family: Eukaryotic small subunit ribosomal RNA
Source: RNAcentral